This 956-nucleotide long non-coding RNA is filed under the name Prunus dulcis (almond). RNAcentral describes it as "sRNA ncRNA". The record is from RNAcentral. Lineage: Eukaryota; Viridiplantae; Streptophyta; Magnoliopsida; Rosales; Rosaceae.
GGACAACAAAAGUAAACUAAGACAGAUUAAAGGUCUGGGAAGGGAGAGAAGACACAUCAUUCUCAGCCUAAUAGACGCAUCAAGUGACCUCCCAUCCUACAAAACUUAACUAUUUCUUUGGGGGACACAUUAGACCAUCCUUAUCCAAACUGAACAUGAGGGAGGAUGGGGGCCGUGCAGCUCAAACUUCUGUGCACAUCCAAGGAAUCCAUAAACUCAAAAGCAGAAACAGAAGCUCUUUGGAUAGUAUCCAUUGAGGAUGGUUGACAAUGAUCAAUCACAGCUUUGCACAUUUCUUUCCAUAUGUGCCAGUAAACAAAAUUGAUAAUGGUUUUUUUUUUCCUUUCCAGUUCAGUUUGAGUUGCACCAUCUCCAUAUAUAACAUUCUUGGCUGAGAAAAACAUCGUGCUCCAGGCUUCGCAGGGAUCGAUCUUCAAGGGUAGGACAAUUGAUCUCUUCUGUAUAGAGACGAAUUCCUCAUUCUUCCAAGUUGCUCCAAUUUUGCACUUCACUCUGUAUCUCCCCCUGAAAUGGAGAAUUGGAUACCAGGGCAUGAAAGAACAUCUCGGACUCCAAAAAGGUGACGUCCAAAGUGACAUAGGUGCGACGAGUAGGAGGAUGAUAAUAUCGAUAACCUUUCUGAUGGGUGGCACAAACCGUAAACACACACUGAAGUAUACAUGGAUCAAGUUUUCUUCGUUGGUUUUAUUGAAGAUGAACAUAAGCCACACAUCCAAAGACCUGUGAUGUAAGCAUCAGGAUAGAAGGCAUGGGCUCGUGUUGGGUAGACACCUGUACCGGAGUAUGAAAGCCCAAGACACGAGAUGACAUACGGUUGAGCAAAUACACGGAUUGACGAUGACAUCAUCCUAAAGGUGGCAAGGAACACGAGCCCUAAUAAAAAAUGCUCGAGCUGUUUCAAGGAGAUGUCAAUUUUUUUGUUUAGCAACGCCAUU